AGUCGACGAGACCUUCGGGUCUAGUGGCGCACGGGUGCGUAACGCGUGGGAAUCUGCCCUUGGGUUCGGGAUAACAGUUGGAAACGACUGCUAAUACCGGAUGAUGACUUCGGUCCAAAGAUUUAUCGCCCAGGGAUGAGCCCGCGUAGGAUUAGCUUGUUGGUGAGGUAAGAGCUCACCAAGGCGACGAUCCUUAGCUGGUCUGAGAGGAUGAUCAGCCACACUGGGACUGAGACACGGCCCAGACUCCUACGGGAGGCAGCAGUGGGGAAUAUUGGACAAUGGGCGAAAGCCUGAUCCAGCAAUGCCGCGUGAGUGAUGAAGGCCUUAGGGUUGUAAAGCUCUUUUACCCGGGAAGAUAAUGACUGUACCGGGAGAAUAAGCCCCGGCUAACUCCGUGCCAGCAGCCGCGGUAAUACGGAGGGGGCUAGCGUUGUUCGGAAUUACUGGGCGUAAAGCGCGCGUAGGCGGCUUUGUAAGUUAGAGGUGAAAGCCCGGAGCUCAACUCCGGAACUGCCUUUAAGACUGCAUCGCUAGAAUUGUGGAGAGGUGAGUGGAAUUCCGAGUGUAGAGGUGAAAU
This 580-nucleotide ribosomal RNA is filed under the name uncultured bacterium. RNAcentral describes it as "bacterial SSU rRNA". It matches the Rfam family "Bacterial small subunit ribosomal RNA", at positions 60 to 687 of the family's 1533-position model. The record is from RNAcentral.